CCUACGGGAGGCAGCAGUGGGGAAUAUUGCACAAUGGGCGAAAGCCUGAUGCAGCAACGCCGCGUGAGCGAUGAAGGCCUUCGGGUCGUAAAGCUCUGUCCUCAAGGAAGAGAAUGACGGUACUUGAGGAGGAAGCCCCGGCGAACGACGUGCCAGCAGCCGCGGUAAUACGUAGGGGGCUAGCGUUCUCCGGAAUUACUGGGCGUCAAGGGUGCGUAGGUGGUUUCUGAAGUCAGAGGUGAAAGGCUACGGCUCAACCGUAGGAAGCCUUUGAAACUGGGGAACUUGAGUGCAGGAGCGGAGAGUGGACUUCCUUGUGUAGCGGUUCAAUGCGUAGAUAUUACGAGGAACACCAGUUGCGAAGGCGGCUCUCUGGACUGUACCUGCCCCUGCGGCACGACAGCGUGGGGAGCAAACAGGAUUAGAUACCCCUGUAGUC
This 439-nucleotide ribosomal RNA is filed under the name uncultured bacterium. RNAcentral's name for it is "partial 16S ribosomal RNA". It matches the Rfam family "Bacterial small subunit ribosomal RNA", at positions 338 to 795 of the family's 1533-position model. The record is from RNAcentral.